RNAcentral lists this ribosomal RNA (238 nucleotides) under uncultured bacterium. RNAcentral's name for it is "partial 16S ribosomal RNA". It matches the Rfam family "Bacterial small subunit ribosomal RNA", at positions 96 to 334 of the family's 1533-position model. The record is from RNAcentral.
CGGCGGACGGGUGAGUAACGCGUGGGUAACCUGCCUCAUACAGGGGGAUAACAGUUGGAAACGGCUGCUAAUACCGCAUAAGCGCACAGUACCGCAUGGUACGGUGUGAAAAACUCCGGUGGUAUGAGAUGGACCCGCGUCUGAUUAGGUAGUUGGUGGGGUAACGGCCUACCAAGGCGACGACCAGUAGCCGGCCUGAGAGGGUGAACGGCCACAUUGGGACUGAGACACGGCCCAA